UGGGAGCUUGCUCCCUGAUGUUAGCGGCGGACGGGUGAGUAACACGUGGGUAACCUGCCUGUAAGACUGGGAUAACUCCGGGAAACCGGGGCUAAUACCGGAUGGUUGUUUGAACCGCAUGGUUCAAACAUAAAAGGUGGCUUCGGCUACCACUUACAGAUGGACCCGCGGCGCAUUAGCUAGUUGGUGAGGUAACGGCUCACCAAGGCAACGAUGCGUAGCCGACCUGAGAGGGUGAUCGGCCACACUGGGACUGAGACACGGCCCAGACUCCUACGGGAGGCAGCAGUAGGGAAUCUUCCGCAAUGGACGAAAGUCUGACGGAGCAACGCCGCGUGAGUGAUGAAGGUUUUCGGAUCGUAAAGCUCUGUUGUUAGGGAAGAACAAGUACCGUUCGAAUAGGGCGGUACCUUGACGGUACCUAACCAGAAAGCCACGGCUAACUACGUGCCAGCAGCCGCGGUAAUACGUAGGUGGCAAGCGUUGUCCGGAAUUAUUGGGCGUAAAGGGCUCGCAGGCGGUUUC
Molecule: ribosomal RNA, 525 nt
Filed under: Bacillus subtilis
Lineage: Bacteria; Bacillati; Bacillota; Bacilli; Caryophanales; Bacillaceae
Description: bacterial SSU rRNA
Rfam family: Bacterial small subunit ribosomal RNA
Source: RNAcentral